UACGUAGGGUGCAAGCGUUGUCCGGAAUUAUUGGGCGUAAAGAGCUCGUAGGCGGUCUGUCGCGUCGAAUGUGAAAACCCGGGGCUCAACCCCGGGCCUGCAUUCGAUACGGGCAGACUAGAGUUCGGUAGGGGAGUCUGGAAUUCCUGGUGUAGCGGUGAAAUGCGCAGAUAUCAGGAGGAACACCGGUGGCGAAGGCGGGGUCUCUGGGCAGUAACUGACGCUGAGGAGCGAAAGCGUGGGGGAGCGAACAGG
RNAcentral lists this ribosomal RNA (255 nucleotides) under uncultured bacterium. Its description in RNAcentral is "partial 16S ribosomal RNA". It matches the Rfam family "Bacterial small subunit ribosomal RNA", at positions 524 to 776 of the family's 1533-position model. The record is from RNAcentral.